GGGGUGAGGGGGGCUACCUGCAGUCGACGGCAGCACAGAGGAGCUUGCUCCUUGGGUGGCGAGUGGCGGACGGGUGAGGAAUACAUCGGAAUCUACUUUUUCGUGGGGGAUAACGUAGGGAAACUUACGCUAAUACCGCAUACGACCUACGGGUGAAAGCAGGGGAUCUUCGGACCUUGCGCGAUUGAAUGAGCCGAUGUCGGAUUAGCUAGUUGGCGGGGUAAAGGCCCACCAAGGCGACGAUCCGUAGCUGGUCUGAGAGGAUGAUCAGCCACACUGGAACUGAGACACGGUCCAGACUCCUACGGGAGGCAGCAGUGGGGAAUAUUGGACAAUGGGCGCAAGCCUGAUCCAGCCAUACCGCGUGGGUGAAGAAGGCCUUCGGGUUGUAAAGCCCUUUUGUUGGGAAAGAAAUCCAGCCGGCUAAUACCUGGUUGGGAUGACGGUACCCAAAGAAUAAGCACCGGCUAACUUCGUGCCAGCAGCCGCGGUAAUACGAAGGGUGCAAGCGUUACUCGGAAUUACUGGGCGUAAAGCGUGCGUAGGUGGUCGUUUAAGUCCGUUGUGAAAGCCCUGGGCUCAACCUGGGAACUGCAGUGGAUACUGGGCGACUAGAGUGUGGUAGAGGGUAGCGGAAUUCCUGGUGUAGCAGUGAAAUGCGUAGAGAUCAGGAGGAACAUCCAUGGCGAAGGCAGCUACCUGGACCAACACUGACACUGAGGCACGAAAGCGUGGNGGAGCAACAGGAUUAGAUACCCUGGGUAGUCACGCCCCUAACGAUGCGAACUGGAUGUUGGGUGCAAUUUGGCACGCAGUAUCGAAGCUAACGCGUUAAGUUCGCCCGCCUG
Molecule: ribosomal RNA, 848 nt
Filed under: Stenotrophomonas sp. LDc
Lineage: Bacteria; Pseudomonadati; Pseudomonadota; Gammaproteobacteria; Lysobacterales; Lysobacteraceae
Description: bacterial SSU rRNA
Rfam family: Bacterial small subunit ribosomal RNA
Source: RNAcentral